Molecule: ribosomal RNA, 766 nt
Filed under: Escherichia coli UMEA 3152-1
Lineage: Bacteria; Pseudomonadati; Pseudomonadota; Gammaproteobacteria; Enterobacterales; Enterobacteriaceae
Description: bacterial SSU rRNA
Rfam family: Bacterial small subunit ribosomal RNA
Source: RNAcentral
UGGGGAGCAAACAGGAUUAGAUACCCUGGUAGUCCACGCCGUAAACGAUGUCGACUUGGAGGUUGUGCCCUUGAGGCGUGGCUUCCGGAGCUAACGCGUUAAGUCGACCGCCUGGGGAGUACGGCCGCAAGGUUAAAACUCAAAUGAAUUGACGGGGGCCCGCACAAGCGGUGGAGCAUGUGGUUUAAUUCGAUGCAACGCGAAGAACCUUACCUGGUCUUGACAUCCACGGAAGUUUUCAGAGAUGAGAAUGUGCCUUCGGGAACCGUGAGACAGGUGCUGCAUGGCUGUCGUCAGCUCGUGUUGUGAAAUGUUGGGUUAAGUCCCGCAACGAGCGCAACCCUUAUCCUUUGUUGCCAGCGGUCCGGCCGGGAACUCAAAGGAGACUGCCAGUGAUAAACUGGAGGAAGGUGGGGAUGACGUCAAGUCAUCAUGGCCCUUACGACCAGGGCUACACACGUGCUACAAUGGCGCAUACAAAGAGAAGCGACCUCGCGAGAGCAAGCGGACCUCAUAAAGUGCGUCGUAGUCCGGAUUGGAGUCUGCAACUCGACUCCAUGAAGUCGGAAUCGCUAGUAAUCGUGGAUCAGAAUGCCACGGUGAAUACGUUCCCGGGCCUUGUACACACCGCCCGUCACACCAUGGGAGUGGGUUGCAAAAGAAGUAGGUAGCUUAACCUUCGGGAGGGCGCUUACCACUUUGUGAUUCAUGACUGGGGUGAAGUCGUAACAAGGUAACCGUAGGGGAACCUGCGGUUGGAUCACCU